CUCCCUCUCCCUCUCCCCAAAACCGAGCAACCUUUGAGCUCUCUUCUUCUCUCAACUUGAGAGUCUCAAGCAGCCACCACACCACCCAACCAACGUGAGCCAUCCCAACAACCUCCCCCCUCUGUCUCCUUCCCUCGCCGAUCGAUCCCGCCGAAUCCCUUACCUUCUCCUAUGACUUUUCCUCCUCCACUGAAUUUGGGUUCUAUGAGGGAAGCUCAUCGAGCUCGUCUAUUGGUUGGGGGGGAGGGGGGGAGGGGGGUGGUCUCAUACUAUUUUUAUUAUUUAUUUAUUUAUUGGUACCGAU
Molecule: long non-coding RNA, 304 nt
Filed under: Prunus dulcis (almond)
Lineage: Eukaryota; Viridiplantae; Streptophyta; Magnoliopsida; Rosales; Rosaceae
Description: sRNA ncRNA
Source: RNAcentral